GUCCACGCCGUAAACGAUGAGCACUAGGUGUCGCGGGUAUUGACCCCUGCGGUGCCGACGCUAACGCAUUAAGUGCUCCGCCUGGGGAAUACGGCCGCAAGGUUAAAACUCAAAGGAAUUGACGGGGCCCGCACAAGCGGUGGAGCAUGUGGUUCAAUUCGACGCAACGCGAAGAACCUUACCUGGGGCUAGACAACGGAGGCCCGCCCCAGAGAUGGGGUUUUCCCUUCGGGGACUUCCGGUUCAGGUGCUGCAUGGCUGUCGU
Molecule: ribosomal RNA, 265 nt
Filed under: uncultured bacterium
Lineage: Bacteria
Description: partial 16S ribosomal RNA
Rfam family: Bacterial small subunit ribosomal RNA
Source: RNAcentral